This 462-nucleotide ribosomal RNA is filed under the name uncultured bacterium. RNAcentral describes it as "bacterial SSU rRNA". It matches the Rfam family "Bacterial small subunit ribosomal RNA", at positions 62 to 507 of the family's 1533-position model. The record is from RNAcentral.
UCGAGGGGCAGCGGGGAGCAAGCUUGCUUGCUCUGCCGGCGACCGGCGCACGGGUGAGUAACACGUAUGCAACCUGCCCUCCGCAGGGGGAUAACCCGGAGAAAUCCGGACUAAUACCGCGUGGUACAUCUGUGGGGCAUCCCACGGGUGUUAAAAGGAAGCGAUUCCGGCGGAGGAUGGGCAUGCGGCGCAUUAGCUUGUUGGCGGGGUAACGGCCCACCAAGGCGACGAUGCGUAGGGGUUCUGAGAGGAAGGUCCCCCACACUGGUACUGAGACACGGACCAGACUCCUACGGGAGGCAGCAGUGAGGAAUAUUGGUCAAUGGGCGGGAGCCUGAACCAGCCAAGUCGCGUGAGGGAAGACGGUCCUAUGGAUUGUAAACCUCUUUAGGCGGGGAGCAAUGCCGGGCACGCGUGCCCGGAGGGAGAGUACCCGCAGAAUAAGCAUCGGCUAACUCCGUG